RNAcentral lists this ribosomal RNA (119 nucleotides) under Citrobacter portucalensis. Its description in RNAcentral is "partial 16S ribosomal RNA". It matches the Rfam family "Bacterial small subunit ribosomal RNA", at positions 1 to 110 of the family's 1533-position model. Lineage: Bacteria; Pseudomonadati; Pseudomonadota; Gammaproteobacteria; Enterobacterales; Enterobacteriaceae. The record is from RNAcentral.
UUAAAUUGAAGAGUUUGAUCAUGGCUCAGAUUGAACGCUGGCGGCAGGCCUAACACAUGCAAGUCGAACGGUAGCACAGAGGAGCUUGACCCUUGGGUUACGAGUGGCGGACGGGUGAG